This 465-nucleotide ribosomal RNA is filed under the name uncultured Klebsiella sp. RNAcentral's name for it is "bacterial SSU rRNA". It matches the Rfam family "Bacterial small subunit ribosomal RNA", at positions 338 to 795 of the family's 1533-position model. The record is from RNAcentral. Lineage: Bacteria; Pseudomonadati; Pseudomonadota; Gammaproteobacteria; Enterobacterales; Enterobacteriaceae.
CCUACGGGUGGCUGCAGUGGGGAAUAUUGCACAAUGGGCGCAAGCCUGAUGCAGCCAUGCCGCGUGUGUGAAGAAGGCCUUCGGGUUGUAAAGCACUUUCAGCGGGGAGGAAGGCGGUGAGGUUAAUAACCUCAUCGAUUGACGUUACCCGCAGAAGAAGCACCGGCUAACUCCGUGCCAGCAGCCGCGGUAAUACGGAGGGUGCAAGCGUUAAUCGGAAUUACUGGGCGUAAAGCGCACGCAGGCGGUCUGUCAAGUCGGAUGUGAAAUCCCCGGGCUCAACCUGGGAACUGCAUUCGAAACUGGCGGGCUAGAGUCUUGUAGAGGGGGGUGGAAUUCCAGGUGUAGCGGUGAAAUGCGUAGAGAUCUGGAGGAAUACCGGUGGCGAAGGCGACCCCCUGGACAAAGACUGACGCUCAGGUGCGAAAGCGUGGGGAGCAAACAGGAUUAGAUACCCGUGUAGUC